RNAcentral lists this long non-coding RNA (13858 nucleotides) under Setaria viridis. RNAcentral describes it as "long non-coding RNA (SVIR_LNC009983)". Lineage: Eukaryota; Viridiplantae; Streptophyta; Magnoliopsida; Poales; Poaceae. The record is from RNAcentral.
GGGAGGUCGCCGGAUGCCAAGUGUUGUUAUUCCCCGUAGGUAGCUAUUUCGAUGUUCGUAGGUACCAGGUUAGAUCAUGAUGAGGCGGCUUCGUUGUUACCCCGGCGUCCGUUAGGGAGAACGGUGGAUACCGCUGCUCCGGCGAUGGCUGCUGAGAGGGAGGGCGUCAUGUCCGCACUGUUGGGUGCGCGGGACUCGAGGGUGUGCGGGACCCGAGGACAGGCCUCUCUCUCCUUUGCUCCGGUCGGCGCAGGUCAUGAGUGCUCCGUGGCGAAUGAGAAUCGGCCGCCGGCACUGUAGCCUGCACAGGACGGUCAUGCACGGGUACUUGCGCCAGGUUGCGUGAGGGGCUCGGUCGCCCUGCCCUCUGCCAACUCUGUGGUGCAUUUAUGGCGAGGCCGACGGGGGGACCCACAGGAUUUGUCUUGUCUAUGCGGACCGCAUCCGAGGGUGUUCCCGGGCUUGUGGGCCCUGGUGCGCCCGACCCCUCCGCUUAGGGUCGGGCGAGGCGGAGAACUCCGCGGCAUGGGGUCGGGUGCUCCCGACCCUGGGAUCGCAGUCGGGCGAGGCGGAGAUUUUGCGGAGGGGGGUCGGGCGCUCCCGAUCCUGGCGCCGGGGUCAGGCGUGGCGGAGAUUUGAUCAUGCUUUGGUGGGCCUGGGCCUUCAUGUUUGCUUCUUUAAGCAGUCUGUUAGGGGGUCAUUAAUAUUUCCCCCCAACAGUAGCCCCCGAGCCUGUGGUGGAGCAGGAGUGCUCCUCCGGAGGCUCCUUUCGCUUUUCGCCGCCGGUUUCUGUAUAAUGGCGCGCUUGUUCUAUCUCCGCCGUGCUCGAGAGAACCUGCCAGUUUGUGACCACACGCAUGGUAGUUGUUUGCGAGGCUAGCCCCCGAGCUCCUGCUCGUUGCAGGAAACCGAUCGGGAGGCCAGGUCGACUUUUUUGAUCGUUGCCCCUCAAGCGUCCGUUCGCUAGGACGGAGGGGUUGAGCCGGGCCACGUUAUCCGAGUUGGACGAACCGUGGUGCUCGUUUGAGCUGCAAACGGGUAAGUUCGAGUGGAGUCCCGGUCCCCGUUCGGGGGGGUCCGGCUCGGGCCAAGCUGGUGGCGUACUCCAAUUUCCCGUCGGUCAGUUCAUAUAGUUCUCGGAUCCGUUCGACCGGAUCUGAGGGCUCGUUGCCUUUCCCCGUGGAAAAACCAUGGACUUUACACUGAGCGGGACUCGAACGUGAGGUUGGGGCGCCCUUGGCGUUCGCUCGCCUGGGUGUUGGCCGCUAGCGGGCCCGUCCCUUCUCACCCCUUGCUCGGGGAUGUCCUGAGGAAGCUGUCGAACCCGUGUUGGGCCAGCUUUCGAACCCCUGGACCGUAUUGGGCCGUAGGGGCGUUUUCAGCCCCGUAUCCCUUUCUUACCUCCCUGCGGGCCUUGGACCGGAGCGGUUGGCAUGCCUGGGCCGAUCGUGGGGAGCGUCGUGGGCGCGAUACCCGGGGAGUGGAGUUAUGGUAGCGUCGUCCCGCGAAUCGAGGAAGAUAGGAUGUUUUUCGCGGCCGAUCGUGCGCGCGGUUUACGAAAAGGAAACGGGCGCGGCGGGGGCGUACCUGGCGCCGCAUUUAUGGCGGCCGUGGCGUCGGUUUGGCUUCCCCGGUACCUUUCCUAUAAAAGCAGGAGUACGCCGCGCCUGUUCCUCUCCUUUCGCGCUCGAGCCUCCUUGCCUUCCUCCUAGUUCACUUGCGCUUGCCUCGCUCGCCUUGUUCCCGUCGCCUCAAGCCGCGUGCUUUCGUCUCUGCCUCCGUCGAUCCACUCCCUUUCUUGGCGAUGGCUUCCUGGGGAGUCUCCCACUUCACUUCCAACCGCGCCGAGGGCCUGGUGCGGAAGGGGCUCCUUUGCGAGAAGACGGCGGCGGACGAGUGGCUGCUGCCGGGGCCGGAGCAGGUUCCGUCGCCUCCCGCCGGCUACGUCGUCUCCUUCGCCCACUUCCACGAGCGGGGAUUCGCCUCCCCUCCAAGCCGCUUCUUCCGCGGGCUUCUUUACUACUACGGGCUCGAGCUCCAGCACCUCAACCCCAAUGGGAUCCAGCACAUCGCGGCAUUCGUCGCGCUGUGUGAGGGAUUCCUGGGGAUUGAGCCCCACUUCGAGCUGUGAAAGUAUUUCUUCACGGUGAGCCUGUAUCAGAAGGCGGGGAAGGCCGGGAGCCAGCAGCGGUCGCCUCCGGUGCCGAUUGGGUGCGCCGGGAUUCAUCUCCGUCAUACUCGCUCCAAGGAGUACAUGACGGUGAAGACCUCGGUGUCCCACAAGGGGUGGCAUAAUCAGUGGUUCUACGUGAAGAACUACCCGAACUCCCCCCUGCCGGCGUUCACCGGCUGCACCAUCGAUGCGGCGCCCGACGUAUGGGCGUACGGGCCGGUGGAGAAGGAGAAGAGGAAGAUCUCCGACCUGUUGCAGGCCAUUGGGCAGCUGAAGUGGGAGGGGCUCACCGGCGCCGGGGUCAUCGGCGCGUACCACGCCCGGCGGGUGGCGCCGCUGAUGCUCCGAGUGCGGCCGCUUGGCAUCAUGUCCCCCGACAUGCCGACCGAGGGCACCGUCCUGGCGACAGGCGCGCUCGCUGCCUCCGAGAUCCGGCAACGACUCCGGGAGGCGCUGGAGGACAAGGACGUCGACUACCCGAUCCCCGGGCAUCCGCCGAUGCGCCCGAAGCCGGGCUUCGUAGACCUGGUAAGAUGUUUGGGUCACCGCUUCUCCCUCCUGAUGUUCCGUUGUUUUGUUGUUCUGAUGCGGAUCCUCCUUCACGUUUUGCAGGGCAUGCUGACCCAGGUUGCGGACUCCCUCCUGCCGGUGCCGGAGGGUGCCGAGCGGAGGGCUCGCAAUCGUCUCCGGGCCGAGGAACAGAAGCGCCGUAAGGACAAGGAGACGGAGAAGCGGUGGAAGAAGGCCGCCAAGGAGCUCCUACGGCGGCGGAGAGGGGCGGUCGUGUCUGACGAUGACGACGACGACGAGGAAGAAGAAGAAGAAGAAGAAGAAGAAGAAGAAGAAGAAGAAGAGGAAGAGGAGGAUGAGGAAGAGCUGUUUGCCCCCCGUUCGAGGGCUUUGGUGAUUCGUGACGCACCCCCGCAGACGACUGUAGGGGGUGCAGCGGCGGGAGCGUCCUCCCGGGAUCCGGCUCCCCAGGGUCCUGGGGCUGUGCCCCAGGGGCCAGCGCAGCCCGUGCUCCAGGAGCCGGCGCGGACCGCCCCUCAGGGGUCGGCUCAGCGCACGUCUCAGGAGCUAGUGCGGACUGCUCCUCAGGGGGCGGCGCAGGGCCUACCCCAGGAAGGGGCGCGGGGCGCCCCCUUGGGGUCGUCCCAGGGCGUCCCCCAGGAACGGGUGCGGGCCGCUCCCCUGGGGUCGGCUCGAGGCGCCGCCCUGGUGUCGACACGGAGCGCCCCUCAGGGGCCUUCAGAGUCCGCCCCUGCCGCCGCCUUGGGUCCGGCGCGGGGCGCUCCCCAGGAGUCCGCUCGGGGGGCUCCUUGGGGAUCCGUGGGGACCGCCUCCGCCGCCGCGCCUGUUGGCGGAGGGCAACGGGGCGGCGACAAGCGGCCACUGCCAGACGCCCCGGGGUCGGCGUCCGGCUCCGAGUCGAAGCGCGCGCGUCGCCCCUGCGCUUCGAGGGCGUAAGUUAACUCUUCCUAUGUGUCAUCCUUCUUUUCUUUUUCCGUUCGUUUCUGCUGACGCCCGACCGUCGACGCGCAGUACUUCUCCCCCGCGGCGUCAGCCUGCGGCUGGCGCCCAAGAAGGCGCUGCUGACAUCAUCCUCCUCCGGGGGGCGGGCCGCAGCCCCGCCGGUGGCGAUUGGCGGGGUUCCUGGUGUGGCCACAGGUCCCCCCGCGGGGGUGGCUGCUGCGGAGUCGGUUGGCGGGACGGCGGCGGAGACAGCCGCAGGAGGGAGAGCGGACUCCACUCCGUCUGCGGCUCCACCGAUCGCCCCUCCGGCUCAGGUCAUGAUCCCCCCUUGCCCUCAGGCCGGGGAGGUGAUCGACCUUGACGCCGACGAGGCGGAGGAGGCGGAGACGACGGAGGGCAGGGUGGAUGCCCCCGCUGCCAUGGCGGGGUCGGAGGCAGAGGGGGCACUUGCUCCCGAGGACGCGGCGGCGGCGAAGGCAGCGGCGCCGGAGGCCGGGGUCUCCGUCCCGGUCGCUCCCGCGGGGGUGACUCUGGCGGCCGAGACGGAGGUGCCCACAGGGGUGCCGUUAGCGGCUGCGGUGGUGACGGGUGCGCAGGCGCCGGAGUCGUCGGCGGAUCCAGGGGUUUCUGGCGUCGUGAUGUCGUCAUCGACGGUGAUGUCAGAGUCGACCCUUGUUCCGCCCUCGGCUUCCUCUGUCCCUGGGGCGUGGAGAGGGCCCGUCCUCCGCUGGACAUCCCGCGACGACCCGCCGAGGUGCCGCUACGCACUGGAUGAUGCCGCCGAGUGGCAUAGGUGGCAGGCGGUGCAUGGCGGCGGCGCCCAGGUUCAGGCGGCUCUGACCUCGGCGUUGGGAGUUUUGGCCAACACCGUGGUCCCUGGCAGCCAGGUAUGUUGUUCCUGCCGCUCGGCGAUGAGUCCCUUCUCUUUGCUUUUUUGCUUUAACGGCAUGCCGCUUUGCAGGCUCUCCAAGAGGGCAGCCGGGAGAAGUCUGACUUCCUCCAGCGGCAGCGGAACCUCUGGGAGCACUAUAACACCGAGAGGGAGCGCUCCAGGAAUCUGACCCUGCAGCUUGGCGCCGCCCAGGGGGCCGUUCGCGACCUGGAGGGGCGUGAGCAGGUGGCGCUAGAGGGGGCGCGGCGUGCCGAGGCCAAGCUCCAGGCCGUCGCGGAGAAGGCCCGCCUCGACCUUGAGGAGUUCCAGGCCGCCAUGGACAGGGCCCGCCGCGAUGCAGAGGGGCUAAAAGCCGCUGCUGCUGAGCGGGCCCGCCGAGACGCCGAGGAGCUGGCGCGGCUGAGGGGGGAGAGUGCGGCCCUCCGCGCGGGGCACGAGCAACUCCGUUUGCAGGUGCAGGGGCUCCAGUCCGCCUUGUCCCGCAGCGUCGACAGGGAGCGCGAGCUGAAGGCCGAGGCCGACGGUGAGGCUCUUUCUGCUCCCGCGUUUUUAUGUCGUUGGUGUUUUGCUUCUUCUGACUUGGUGGGAUUUCUCGAGUGGCUCCUGCAGGUGACCUCGCCAGAUUGCGGACUCUGCUCGACGAGGAGCGUGGUGAGCAUGGCACCCUGCGGGAUGCGGUUCGCGUCAUCUGCGAGGACUUCGGCGUUGCUCCGGAGGAGGGGUCGAGCUCGCUGCCGGCUCAUGUCCUCGAGGUGCGCCGUCGUCGUCGCGAGAUCACCGUGGACGCGCUUCGCCUUGGCGUGCGGCGCGCCUUCGGGGUCUUCGGCUCUCACUAUGCCGACAUUAAUUUUGUCGGGAUGAGUGAGGGGUACUGCGCCGGCUACACCGACGCCGAGCUGGAUGAGAUCGACGCCGCGGUGACCGCGCUGGCGGAGGCCCUCGCGAAGCUCCUGGAGGAUGAAGCCGUCCCCCCUGCCGAUCCUGAGGCCGCUCCUGCCGACCCUGAGGCCGCCGCCGUCGCCGACCCUGAAGCCGCCGCCGUCGCCGACCCUGAAACCGCCGCUCUUGUUGACCCCGAGACCACUGCUCCAGCCGACCCUCCUGUCAAUUAACUGUGCCGGGCUUGCGCCCGAAAAAAGUUUGUACUUAAGUCAGUCGUUUUGAACUCGUUUGUGCUGGCCAUACGGGCCUGUUCUUAUGACUUUUUAUUUUGCGCUAAGGAAACCGUUUCCCUUUGUUAUUCCUUUGGUCUUUGAAAGCUUUAGGAUGUGUUGCCGGGUGCGUCAGUAAGUUUUUGAUGAGCGAAGGUACCGUAGCCGCUGGGGCGUAGGCUUUUUCGCAGUCCGAUCGCAACUUGGCUGAGCACCGUUCGCGCAUCCUUAUCUUUUUGCAUCCAAAGGUUUUCGAAAGGGAGUGUUCGGUUUUUGAAAAAAGAAAAAACGUUUUCUUUUUAGCGGUGCCCAGCGGCUGGGGUCGGGACCCCUGAUAGCCCCCGAGGGGUGUGCGAUCCUGGAGCCAGGCCAGGGUCGGAUACCCCUGAGUUUAAAAGAAAAGGCCUUCUUUUUUCGUGGAAGAUCAAAACUGGUAGCCCCCGAGGGGUAUGCGACCCUUGAGCGAGGCCAGGGUCGGAUACCCCUGAGCUUAAACGAAAGGGUCUGAGCCAAAGUGGCUCAGGGUUUCUUUUUUCGCAGAAGAACAAAACUGGUAGCCCCCGAGGGGUAUGCGACCCUUGAGCGAGGCCAGGGUCGGAUACCCCUGAGCUUAAACGAAAGGGUCUGAGCCAAAGUGGCUCAGGGUUUCUUUUUUCGCAGAAGAACAAAACUGGUAGCCCCCGAGGGGUAUGCGACCCUGGAGUGAGGCCAGGGUCAGAUACCCCUGAGCUUAACCGAAAGAACGGAAAAGAUGGCAAGACCAUGCAUAACUUGAAAAUGAGAGCUAGGGGUAGAAGCGCCUUAGCUGUUCUAUGUUCCAGGCGUUGCUGAAGAUUUGCCCGUCGGGAGUUGCCAGUUUGUAGGUGCCUGGCCGCAGCACUUGUGCGACGAUGAACGGGCCUUCCCAUGGGGGAGUCAACUUGUGCCGACCCCUGUUGUCUUGGACGAGGCGGAGCACUAGAUCUCCGACGUUGAAGGCGCGGCCUUGUAUUCUGCGGCUGUGGUAACGCCGUAGGGCCUGCUAGUACUUAGCUGAGUGUAGCAGGGCUACAUCUCGCGCCUCGUCGAGUUGGUCUUGUGCGUCCUCGAGUGACGUCUGGUUUCCCUGUUCGUCGUAUGCUUUGACCCUCGGUGACCCAUACUCCAAGUCGGUGGGCAAGAUGGCCUCUGACCCGUAGACCAUGAAGAAUGGGGUGAACCCUGUCGCCCGGCUGGGGGUCGUCCUCAGGCUCCAGAGGACUGCUGGGAGCUCCGCAACCCAUCGUCCGCCGAAUUUUUUGAGGCGGUCGAAGAUCCGUGGCUUGAGACCCUGAAGUAUCAUGCCAUUGGCUCGCUCGACUUGCCCGUUCGUGCGGGGGUGCGCAACUGCCGCCCAAUCCACUCGAAUGUGGUGGUCGUCGCAGAACUGGAGGAAUCUCUUUCCGGUGAACUGCGUACCGUUGUCGGUUAUGAUGGAGUUCGGGAUCCCGAAGCGGUGGAUGAUGUCGGUGAAGAACUGUACCGCCUGCUUGGACCUGAUUUGCGCCACUGGCCUUGCUUCGAUCCAUUUGGAAAACUUGUCGACAGCGACAAGUAGAUGGGUGAAGCCCCCGGGCGCCCUUUUGAAGGGUCCGACGAGAUCCAGCCCCCAGACCGCGAACGGCCACGUGAUGGGGAUGGUUUGUAACGCCUGCGCGGGCAGGUGGGUUUGGCGGGCAAAGAACUGGCAUCCCUCGCAAGUGCGGACCACCUGUGUAGCAUCCGCGACCGCGGUCGGCCAGUAGAAACCUUGUCGGAAGGCAUUGCCCACAAGCGUCCUUGGCGCAGCGUGGUGACCACAAGCCCCAGCGUGGAUGUCCUGGAUCAGCGCCUUUCCCUAUUCGAUCGGGAUGCAGCGCUGGAGGAUCCCAGUGUGACUUCGCUUGUAAAGCUCCUGGUCGAUGAUGGUGAAGGUUUUCGCACGGCGCGUGAUCCUGCGGGCUUCGGUCUUGUCGGUCGGGAGCGCGUCGCGGAUAAGGUAGUCGAGGUACGGGGCUCUCCAAUCGGUCGAGGGGUCGGCCCCCGCCGCGGGGCCCGCCUCGAUUUCCAUAACCGCGGGGUCGGAAGGCUUGGCUUCCGGGGCCGGGUCGGGUGGGGCAGCGUUGGUUCCCUUGGGAUCGGUGCUCGGGUCCAGGACAGGUGGCGUGCUGCCGACCUUCCCUGGCUCGGAUCCCACCCCCAAAGCUGGGCAUGCCCCGCCGACCUCUGCUGGCUCCGGGUAACGGAUCGAAGGCUUCAGCUGGUCGCUAACGAAGACGCCGUCGGGGACGGGCAUCCGGCCGGACGCCGCCUUUGCGAGCUCGUCGGCGGCUUCAUUGAAGCGCCUUGCGACGUGGUUGAGCUCCAACCCGUCGAACUUGUCCUCGAGCUUACGUACCUCGUUGCAGUAGGCGGCCAUUUUAGGGUCAUGGCAGCUCCAUUCUUUCAUGACUUGUUCGACGACCAACUGGGAAUCGCCUCGGACGUCUAGUCGACAAAUGCCCAGCUCGAUGGCGAUGCGGAGCCCGUUGAGCAGGGCUUCAUACUCAGCGACAUUGUUGGAUGCAGGAAAAUGGAGGCGGAUCAUGUACCUGAUGCGUACGCCCAACGGAGAGACGAAGACGAGGCCUGCUCCGGCGCGGGCCCUCAUCAGCGACCCGUCGAAGUACAUCAUCCAGUACUCCUGCUCCUCUGUUGCCGUUGGUGCUUGUACCUCUGUCCACUCGGCCACGAAAUCGGCAAGUACCUGGGACUUAAUGGCGGUGCGGGGGACGUAGGUGAUACCCUGAUCCAUAAGCUCAAGCGCCCACUUCGCGAUCCUUCCUGUUGCAUUUGGGUUCCGGAUUACUUCACCAAGCGGGAAUGAAGAGACGACCGUUACCGGAUGGGAGGUGAAGUAGUGACGCAGCUUCCUCUUCGUGAUGAGGAUGGCGUAGACGAGCUUCUGGAUCUGCGGGUAUCGUGACUUGGACUCGAACAAUACUUCGCUGAUGAAGUACACCGGGCGUUGCACCUUAAGAGCGUGUCCCUCCUCCUCCCGCUCCACUACCAGGGCCGCGCUGACCACCUGGGUGGUCGCCGCGACGUAGAGUAGAAGGGUCUCGCCGUCGGCCGGCGGAACUAGAAUUGGGGCUUUUGUCAGGAGAUCCUUGAGCCUCUCAAGUGCUUCCUGCGCCUCGCUGGUCCACUCAAAGCGGUCGGAUUUUUUCAGGAGCCGAUAGAGAGGAAGUCCUCGCUCGCCGAGGCGCGAGAUGAAGCGGCUAAGGGAUGCUAAGCAUCCCAUGACGCGCUGCACUCCCUUCAUGUUCCGGAUCGGCCCUAUGUCGUUGAUGGCCGCUAUCUUCUCCGGGUUCGCCUCGAUGCCGCGCACGGAGACGAUGAAGCCUAGCAGCAUGCCCCUUGGGACACCAAACACGCAUUUCUCAGGGUUAAGCUUGAUACGCUUAUCCCUUAGCCUUUCGAAGGCUAGCUCCAGGUCGGGAACGAGCUGAUCGCCCUUCCUGGAUUUGACUACGAUGUCGUCGACGUAGGCCUCAACGGUCUGCCCGAUGAGAUCUCCGAAGCACUUAAGCAUACAUCGCUGGAAGGUAGCCCCCGCGUUUUUGAGGCCGAACGGCAUCUUAACGUAGCAGUAGGGGCCAAAGGGGGUGAUGAAGGAGGUAGCGAGCUGGUCGGCCUCUUUCAUCGUGAUCUGGUGAUAGCCGGAGUACGCAUCAAGGAAGCUGAGUGUUUCGCACCCAGCGGUUGAGUCGACUAUUUGAUCUAUGCGUGGCAAAGGGAACGGAUCCUUUGGACACGCUUUGUUGAGGCUGGUAUAAUCGACACACAUCCUCCAUUUCCCGUUCUUUUUUGGUACAAGAACAGGAUUGGCCAACCACUCGGGGUGGUGUACUUCCUUGAUGAACCCGGCCGCCAGGAGCUUCUGGAGCUCUUCACCAAUGGCCCUGCGCCUUUCUUCGUCGAAACGGCGCAAGCCUUGCUUCACUGGUUUAGAGCCGGCCCUGAUGUUCAAGGAAUGCUCGGCGACUUCUCUCGGGAUGCCUGGCAUAUCCGAGGGCUUCCACGCAAAGAUGUCGCUGUUCGCGCGGAGGAAGUCGACGAGCGCGCUUUCCUAUUUGGGGGAUAGGGCUGCGCUGAUCCGCACGACCCCGCCACCGGAACUGCCGGGGUCGAGAGGGACUUCCUUGAUGCCUUCAGUGGGCUCAAAGGAGGUACCUGACUGCUUGGCGUCGGGCUGGUCCUCGAUCGUCUCCUCAAGCUGGGCUACCAUGUCGCCCGAGACGGUGAUGGCCGCGGCGUACUCGGAGCACUCGACGUCGCACUCGUAUGCCUUCUGGAAGGUUGUGCCGACGGUGAUGACCCCAUUAGGCCCUGGCAGCUUGAGCUUGAGGUAGGUGUAGUUGGGGAUUGCCAUGAACUUCGCGUAGCAUGGCCGUCCCAAGAUGGCGUGGUAGGUUCCGCGAAACCCUACCACCUCGAAGGUGAGGACCUCCUUCCUAUAGUUAGAAGGGGUCCCGAACGUGACGGGCAGGUCGAUCUGCCCGAGAGGCGUUGCCUGCUUUCCUGGCACAACGCCAUGGAAGGGAGCCUUGCUAGGACGGAGACGGGAGCGAUCGAUUCCCAUGGCGUCGAGGGUCUCGGCGUAGAGGAGGUUGAGGCCGCUGCCCCCAUCCAUGAGUACCUUGGUGAGGCGUGUCGUGCCGACGAUGGGAUCGACGACGAGAGGGUAACGCCCCGGAUGCCGGACGCGUCCCGGGUGGUCGGACCUAUCAAAGGUGAUGGCCGGUCCGGACCAAUCGAGGAAAGCCGGGGUCGCAGGCUCGGCCGCGUAGAUCUCCCGGCGCUCUAGCUUUUGCUGGCGCCUGGUGUCGUAUGCUGCGGAGCCUCCGAAGAUCAUGAAGCAGCCGUCAACUUUAGGAAAGCCGUCUUCCUUUUCCUCGUCACCCUUCCUUUCCUCGUCGGGUUUCCGCUUCCGGUCACCUUUCGCCGGGUUGCCCACAAAGAACCUCUUCAUGAGGUUACAAUCUUUGUAGGCGUGCUUGACGGGGAACUCGUGGUUCGGGCACGGCCCCUCAAGCAGCUUGUCGAAGAAGCCAGGAGCGCCGUCGGGGGGCGGUUGCUCCCGCUUGCGCUCGGCUGCGGCUACGAGUGGAGCCUCGCGUCGCUGCUUGCCCUUCUUCUUCUGCUGCUGGCGGUUGGAGGUGCCUUCGUCGGCGUCCUCCUCCCGCUUCGCCUUGCCUUUGGAACGAUCAAAGAUCGCUCCGACAGCCUCUUCACCAGAAGCGUAGCUAGUGGCGAUGUUGAGGAGCUCUUCCAUGGUUCGCGUGCCUCGGCACCCUAGCUCGUGGACGAGGGGUCGGCAAGAGGUCCCUGCUAGGAAGGCCCCUAUAACGUCGGCGUCGGCGACGUUGGAGAGCUCGGUGCGCUUUCUGGAGAAGCGCCGAAUGUAAUCCCGAAGGGACUCGUCCGCCCCCUGGCGGCAGCUCCGAAGAUCCCAGGAGUUGCCAGGGCGUGUGUACGUCCCUUGGAAGUUUCCUACGAAAACCUCCUUCAGGUCGUUCCAGUUGCGAAUGCGUCCUGAAGGGAUAUGUUCUAGCCAGGCUCUCGUAGAGUCUGCCAGAAACAGGGGUAAGUUGCGGAUGAUGAACAGGUCAUCGUCCGCCCCGCCGGCUUGACACGCAAGCCGGUAAUCGCUGAGCCAUACUCCAGGGUUGGUCUCCCUCGAGUAUUUGGCCACGCUCGUGGGCUGCCUGAAGCGCGGCGGAAAGGGCGCAUUUAGGAUGCGCGUGGAGAAGGCCCGAGGUCCGGCCGCUCCGGGGCUCGGACUGCGGUCCUCCCCGCUGUCGUAGCGCCCGCCGCGAUGGACGUGGUAGCCACGAUCCGCCCCGUCCCCCCUGUCCGCGCGGGAGCGUCUCCGCGUGUUCAGCGUGUCGCGGGCGUCGCGGACGAGGCCGACGCGCUGGUGGACGGAUCGGGCCUCGCCUAUCGCGGGUGGCGGUGCUCGUUGGGCGGUUGCAGCCGGAUUCACCUCCGGAGGGGGUUGAUGAACAGAUUCCCCCCACCGUUCCGGGGGCGCGCCCUGCGUCGCCCGACUGGCGUUCUGGCCGCGUCGUCGAGACGCUGAACUUUCCGCCUGCUGGACGGCGGCGCACUCGAGCAGGUUACGCAUCUCUUGGCGCGCCCGUCGCUCCUCGGGCGUUGCUGGCUCGGGGAGCUGUCGGAGUAACACCGCCGCGGCGGCGACGUUCUGGCUAGCGCGGGCAAAGAGCGGCGGGCGUUCUCCAUCCGCACAGAUGCGUUCCUGGACGUCGCGCGCCCGUUGCCACGCUCCCCCCUCGUGAUGGGGGUGCUCUACUCCCUGGCGAGCGCCCACGUGCGCUUCCAGUUGCUGGGAGCAUUCUGGGGCCCUGGGUAAGGCUCCCGUUGUAGCUGCGGCGUCCGAGGGGGGAGCCCGUUGCCUCCCCUCGGCACCAUCGCCAUUGGACCCCUCGGAGUGCGCAUCAGCCAUGAAGCACUCGCGCGAGGGCCGGGGAUUCUCGUUACUAGAGCCAGUGUCGGAGAUUGUCCUUGCCACGCCCACGAGCUCGUUGCUCGUAGGUGACGUGGCGAGGGACCGCGCUAGGAGGCGACCGUGAGCCCCCGUGGCGUUGCGUAGCCCGAAGAGCCAUCCUUCUGGUGAGGCCCUUCCGGCUGGCGUCCGGCCGCUCGUCGCCGUCUUGGCUGUGGUGCCGAGGGCAGCGGGAUGAGCGGGCAGGACGUGGACAGGGAUCAGCUCGAUCCCUUUCCCGGUGGCCAGGAAGUCCAGGCUGCCGAAACGGAUUAGGGAGCCUGGAGCAAAGCUGCUAUCGCGAUUGGCCAUCUGAGACUUGGAGAUGUACGCGCAAAGGUCCCCUACCUGGCGCGCCAACUGUCGUUGUCAAGAUCAGCGGAUCAAGACUUAGACUAGUAAAUUUCUUUUAUGCGCGUGAGCCUCAGAUGGUUGCACGGGAGACACGGAUUAGACUGGUUCGGGCAAAGGAAGCCCUACGUCCAGUAUCGAGGAUGCUCGUGUUACCCGUGCGGGGGUUCUGUAGUAGGGGGUUAUAGAUUGGCGAGAGAGGGACUGGUCCCAAGUCUCUUCGGUUUUUGUGCUCUUAGGAAGAGUGGUGGUCUACUAUGGUGUACGGGAGAAGGAGCUGAUUCCCUCCAUCCCCUCCCCCCGGCUCUGGGUUCCUCCUUUUAUAUCACAAGGGGACGGCUGGAGUUACAAUUGGGAUCGGGUAGAAAGGCCCGUAAAGAGUAAAGAGUAAGAUGGUAAAAAGUAAGGCAGGAAGGAGGGGAGAGAUCCCAGGCGCCCUGAUAUCCUGCCGACCCUGAACGCGUGCCGCCGUGCAUGCCGGAGGGGGAGGUCGCCGGAUGCCAAGUGUUGUUAUUCCCCGUAGGUAGCUACUUCGAUGUUCGUAGGUACCAGGUUAGAUCAUGAUGAGGCGGCUUCGUCGUUACCCCGGCGUCCGUUAGGGAGAACGGUGGAUACCGCUGCUCCGGCGAUGGCUGCUGAGAGGGAGGGCGUCACGUCCGCACUGUUGGGUGCGCGGGACUCGAGGGUGUGCGGGACCCAAGGACAGGCCUCUCUCUCCUUUGCUCCGGUCGGCGCAGGUCAUGAGUGCUCCGUGGCGAAUGAGAACUGGCCGCCGGCACUGUAGCCUGCACAAGACGGUCAUGCACGGGUACUUGCGCCAGGUUGCGUGAGGGGCUCGGUCGCCCUGCCCUCUGCCAACUCUGUGGUGCAUUUAUGGCGAGGCCGACGGGGGGACCCACAGGAUUUGUCUUGUCUAUGCGGACCGCAUCCGAGGGGGUUCCCGGGCUUGUGGGCCCCGGUGCGCCCGACCCCUUUGCUUAGGGUCGGGCGAGGCGGAGAACUCCGCGGCGUGGGGUCGGGUGCUCCCGACCCUGGGAUCGCAGUCGGGCGAGGCGGAGAUUUUGCGGAGGGGGGUCGGGCGCUCCCGAUCCUGGUGCCGGGGUCAGGCGUGGCGGAGAUUUGAUCAUGCUUUGGUGGGCCUGGGCCUUCAUGUUUGCUUCUUUAAGCAGUCUGUUAGGGGGUCAUUAAUAUUUCCCCCCAACAUUAUUGUUAUUUUAUAUAAACUUAGUCAAAAAUAGGAUUGUUUGACUUAGAACAAACUCAAAGUCACUUAU